Triticum dicoccoides is the source of this 186-nucleotide long non-coding RNA. RefSeq lists it as uncharacterized. The transcript has 3 exons. The record is from RefSeq and is a predicted model, not a curated record. Lineage: Eukaryota; Viridiplantae; Streptophyta; Magnoliopsida; Poales; Poaceae.
GAUGCUCUUCCGAUCGCCCAAAUCCUUCUAUAUUGGAGUGUCUAAGAGGUUGCGGUUGCUGCAUUUUGCAGAGGGAGUCGAGUGUGAAGAAGAAUUAACCUACAGGGGCUAGCUGAAGUAGAAGGGGACCAACUUGGGAAGAAAGAAGAAAACAAGGAGGGCUAAACAAGAAGAAUGCAGAUCUGA